GAUAAUGCAAGAAGGUAAUAAGCCGAUUUUGUUUUUGUUUCUUUUCCUCUCUCAUGAUGUACCCUGAAUGACAUUUUCUGCAGUGGUAUGCCCUUAAGCCCAUAGCCAGAGUAAUGUGUGGUUCCCAGCAUGUUAGCCGUGACACCCUCUUUUUCACUCAGGAGAAAUAUUAGAUUGCACAUGAUUGAGAAUAAGGUUGCUGAAUGAUUAACUUUUCAAUUUAAUUUCUUAACUCUAAUAUUAAUAAAAGUAAGACGCUCACAAGCUUUGAUCCUUCCACAUUAGUAACAGAUUACUCACUGCAAUACUUUCAUAUUCCAACAUAAUGUUUGAGAAGCAUGCCUGUGAACAGUGUUAAAUUAUAC
This 365-nucleotide long non-coding RNA is filed under the name Homo sapiens (human). RNAcentral's name for it is "HSALNT0121340". The record is from RNAcentral. Lineage: Eukaryota; Metazoa; Chordata; Mammalia; Primates; Hominidae.